AACGAACGCUGGCGGCAUGCCUAACACAUGCAAGUCGAACGAGACCUUCGGGUCUAGUGACGCACGGGUGCGUAACGCGUGGGAAUCUGCCCUUUGCUUCGGAAUAACAGUUAGAAAUGACUGCUAAUACCGGAUGAUGUCUUCGGACCAAAGAUUUAUCGGCAAAGGAUGAGCCCGCGUAGGAUUAGGUAGUUGGUGGGGUAAAGGCCUACCAAGCCGACGAUCCUUAGCUGGUCUGAGAGGAUGAUCAGCCACACUGGGACUGAGACACGGCCCAGACUCCUACGGGAGGCAGCAGUGAGGAAUAUUGGACAAUGGGCGCAAGCCUGAUCCAGCCAUGCCGCGUGCAGGAUGACGGUCCUAUGGAUUGUAAACUGCUUUAUACAGGAAGAAACAACUCCGACGUGUCGGAGCUUGACGGUACUGUAAGAAUAAGGAUCGGCUAACUCCGUGCCAGCAGCCGCGGUAAAGUGACUACUG
This 480-nucleotide ribosomal RNA is filed under the name uncultured bacterium. Its description in RNAcentral is "bacterial SSU rRNA". It matches the Rfam family "Bacterial small subunit ribosomal RNA", at positions 29 to 537 of the family's 1533-position model. The record is from RNAcentral.